RNAcentral lists this ribosomal RNA (494 nucleotides) under uncultured bacterium. RNAcentral's name for it is "partial 16S ribosomal RNA". It matches the Rfam family "Bacterial small subunit ribosomal RNA", at positions 28 to 523 of the family's 1533-position model. The record is from RNAcentral.
GAUGAACGCUAGCGGGAGGCCUAACACAUGCAAGCCGAGCGGUAUUGUUUCUUCGGAAAUGAGAGAGCGGCGUACGGGUGCGGAACACGUGUGCAACCUGCCUUUAUCUGGGGGAUAGCCUUUCGAAAGGAAGAUUAAUACUCCAUAACAUAUUGAACGGCAUCGUUUAAUAUUGAAAGCUCCGGCGGAUAGAGAUGGGCACGCGCAAGAUUAGCUAGUUGGUGAGGUAACGGCUCACCAAGGCGAUGAUCUUUAGGGGGCCUGAGAGGGUGAUCCCCCACACUGGUACUGAGACACGGAACAGACUCCUAUGGGAGGCAGCAGUGAGGAAUAUUGGUCAAUGGGUGCAAGCCUGAACCAGCCAUCCCGCGUGAAGGACGACUGCCCUAUGGGUUGUAAACUUCUUUGUAUAGGGAUAAGCCUACCCUCGUGAGGGUAGCUGAAGGUGCUAUACGAAUAAGCACCGGCUAACUCCGUGCCAGCCGCCGCGGUAA